Cariama cristata (Red-legged seriema) is the source of this 336-nucleotide long non-coding RNA. RefSeq lists it as uncharacterized. The transcript has 3 exons. The record is from RefSeq and is a predicted model, not a curated record. Lineage: Eukaryota; Metazoa; Chordata; Aves; Cariamiformes; Cariamidae.
AGGAAAUGCUUGAUAUCAUGAAAGCAAUAUAUGAUAUGAUGGGGAAAUGCACCUAUCCUGUUCUCAAGGAGGAUGCGCCUAGACAACAUGUGGAAACAUUUUUCCAGAAAAUGGACAAAAACAAAGAUGGAGUAGUUACCAUAGAUGAAUUCAUUGAGAGCUGCCAGAAAGAUGAGAAUAUAAUGCGAUCCAUGCAGCUCUUUGAAAAUGUGAUUUAACGAAGACGUUAGGUCUGCAACUAAUGGACAAAUACGAGCUAUUCUGCAACAUUAUCUAAAAGAUGGAUUUCCCACUUUAUCAUAAAUAAAAUUACUCAGCUUUACACUGAGACAUGUA